GCGAUAGACAGUCAUCGGCCAAGGGGAACCGAUAAGUGAGCCACCUGGGGAGUACGGCCGCAAGGUUGAAACUCAAAGGAAUUGACGGGGUCUCCGCACAAGCGGUGGAACAUGUGGUUUAAUUCGAUGAUACGCGAGGAACCUUACCUGGGCUUAAAUGUGAAGUGCAUUGAUUGGAAACAAUCAGUUCCUUCGGGACCCUUUACAAGGUGCUGCAUGGUUGUCGUCAGCUCGUGCCGUGAGGUGUCGGGUUAAGUCCCAUAACGAGCGCAACCCCUAUUGUUAGUUACCAGCGCGUGAUGGCGGGGACUCUAGCGAAACUGCCGGUGUAAACCGCGAGGAAGGUGGGGAUGACGUCAAAUCAGCACGGCCCUUAUGUCCAGGGCUACACACGUGUUACAAUGGCCGGUACAGCGGGCAGCUAGGCAGCGAUGUCAUGCUAAUCCCGAAAGCCGGUCCCAGUUCGGAUUGGAGUCUGCAACCCGACUCCAUGAAGGUGGAAUCGCUAGUAAUCGCGCAUCAGCCAUGGCGCGGUGAUACGUUCCCGGGCAUUGUACACACCGCCCGUCAAGCCAUGGAAGUCUGGGGUGCACUGAAGGCCGUAACCGCAAGGAGCGGUCUAGGGUAAACAGAUGACUGGG
RNAcentral lists this ribosomal RNA (641 nucleotides) under uncultured organism. Its description in RNAcentral is "bacterial SSU rRNA". It matches the Rfam family "Bacterial small subunit ribosomal RNA", at positions 829 to 1479 of the family's 1533-position model. The record is from RNAcentral.